GAUGAACGCUGGCGGCGUGCCUAAUACAUGCAAGUCGAGCGAACGGACGAGAAGCUUGCUUUUCUGAUGUUAGCGGCGGACGGGUGAGUAACACGUGGAUAACCUACCUAUAAGACUGGGAUAACUUCGGGAAACCGGAGCUAAUACCGGAUAAUAUUUUGAACCGCAUGGUUCAAAAGUGAAAGACGGUCUUGCUGUCACUUAUAGAUGGAUCCGCGCUGCAUUAGCUAGUUGUAAUGUAACGGCUUACCAAGGCAACGAUGCAUAGCCGACCUGAGAGGGUGAUCGGCCACACUGGAACUGAGACACGGUCCAGACUCCUACGGGAGGCAGCAGUUGGGAAUCUUCCGCAAUGGGCGAAAGCCUGACGGAGCAACGCCGCGUGAGUGAUGAAGGUCUUCGGAUCGUAAAACUCUGUUAUUAGGGAAGAACAUAUGUGUAAGUAACUGUGCACAUCUUGACGGUACCUAAUCAGAAAGCCACGGCUAACUACGUG
Molecule: ribosomal RNA, 496 nt
Filed under: uncultured bacterium
Lineage: Bacteria
Description: partial 16S ribosomal RNA
Rfam family: Bacterial small subunit ribosomal RNA
Source: RNAcentral